GGGGGCAUAGCUCAGUUGGGAGAGCAGCAGACUGAAGUUAAUCAUUCUUCUGAAGGUCCCGCGUUCAAUCCGCGGUGCCCCCA
Molecule: transfer RNA, 83 nt
Filed under: Sphagnurus paluster
Lineage: Eukaryota; Fungi; Basidiomycota; Agaricomycetes; Agaricales; Lyophyllaceae
Description: tRNA-Phe
Source: RNAcentral